Long non-coding RNA from Brassica rapa (field mustard), 2877 nucleotides. RefSeq lists it as uncharacterized. NCBI's taxonomy places the organism in Eukaryota, Viridiplantae, Streptophyta, Magnoliopsida, Brassicales, Brassicaceae. The record is from RefSeq and is a predicted model, not a curated record.
CAAUAUAAUGUGUAGUUUCCAGAAGAAUAUAUGUGUGUGAUGUGACCAUGAAAGUGGUGGUGCUCUCUAUAAGAAAAUAUUUGCUUGGAACGAGUUCUUGACUCGGGGAAUUCGAAAUCAUCUCCGGAAUACCAUGUGAACUGUAGAGCAUUGAUGUAUGGUUUCUUUAACCAGGAUGAUACAUCCUGGAAAAGGACUUCCUUCAGAGAUACUAAGUGAUAUGUUUGAGACACGAAAUUGAUGGGUCACACCUGAUGGCUUAGGACUUAAGCUUUCACGGAAACUGCUGGAGCAGAUGAAUGGUAGUGUGAGUUUUGUUAGAGAAGACGAACGUUGUUUCUUUCAAGUGGAUCUUCAAGUUAAGACAAGGUUAGGUGUUGAGACCAGAGGAACAGAGGCUGAUUCAAGCAUACAAUAGAGAUUAUGGGUCCCAAAGGCAUAUAGAUAAUAAAAUUUGAUGAAUUGUGCUCCUUUUAUGGUCUGAAUGUGUUGUCAUUCAAAGUUUCCAUUAUUUAUUUAUCAAUAAAAUGUAUCUUAGUCAUUUAUAUAGUAGGAUGAUUAAGUAAACCAAAAAAAAGAAAAAACAAACCAUAACCCAAUUUACAGUACUUUGAGUCACUGACCAUCAUUAUCAAUUUAUCUAUCAUCAUCAUAUCUUCCUAAACUGAAUAUUUACGUUUGAACAAAAGGCAGUAAAGGGUUCGUUUGCAUGUCAGCUUCAAUGUGUGCUUUCACCGGUAAGAGGAUGAGCAACUUUGUGAAUGCUCCAUGACCAAACCCGCUUUCCUUCAUCAAAGAACAUGGAACAUGCCCAUUUUAAUUUUAUUUAAAACUAUGGAUUUAAGUUUUACAUAUUUUAACGUUAAGUCCAUUACAGCCAAACAAAAUAUUGAACAUAAACUUUGUUUUUCUUUUUCCAAACAGAGUAGAAUUUGAUUGAUCUUUAAAACACACAAAUUCAUGUGCCUUUUGCUGAAGUCGAUAGUACAAGAAAAGUGAAUUUGACAAUUCUUCACAAAAUGAAAAUUUAUUAUAAACAACUCCAACAAAACAAACAAAUCACUCCACAAUACUUCCUAUUACUUUAUCAAAGUAUUUCAAACACGUCUAAUUGUCAAUGACCCCGCGAAAGUAUUACAAACACGUCUAUUGUCAAUAAAAGCAGCUAAAUUGAAGUUUUUAAAGGUGUCAUAUAGGCAAAAAAAUUGAGAACCAACUAAUCUGCCAUGUCAUCCUGGACUGGUUUGAAAGACCAACUUUCGCAGCCCAUUAUUACUAAAUUUCGGAGCCUAUUUACACCAUUCUCAGCAUUUCAUUUUAACAGCCCAUUAUUAUUCAGAUACUAAAGACCCUAACCCAUUAUUACUCAUAUACUAAAGACCCUAAAACAUAAUCCCUAACCCAUUAAUACUAAAAGCCCUAAAACAUAUAAUUCUCUAAAAACUAAAGAUCACUCAUCCUCACUCUAGCCCUAAUCACCGACUCCAUCUCAUCGUGAUUCUCUUCCUCUUCAUCUCAUCUUCAACUUAAAUAUUAUCAUUUUUGAAUGAAAACAUUAUUAUUAUUGAAAUAUUAAUUAUUUAUCCAAAACUCUAAUAAACAAAAUAUACAAGUUGUUAAUGCACUCUAUUGUUUGCAAAGAAGCUUUUCCUAUUAUUUCCCUUUUUCAUUUAAUGCACAAAUACAAGUGUAGAUUUUUCUUUUUAUCUAGAAGAUGUUUUUUAAUUUAACAUACAAAUUAUGAACCGUUUGACUAUGUUUAUCAUAAAUUUGGUUAUAUAUAUUUUUAGUUUUAAUAUAUUCUUCAUUAUUUACAUCUUAUUAGUUUUAAACCAUACAAAAAACAUAUAUUAAUUGCAUAUUUUAAAACUUACUUUAUAUUUUAAAACGAUUAAAGUCACAAUGACCAAUUAUUUUCCAGCACCACCAAAAACUCGAAAAACCCUAUACAACCGAAAUUUUAUUUUCAUAUAUUAUUAAAUUUUAUUUGUUUAUAAUAUGUUUUAAAAAACAAACCAAAAAAAAUUGUGAUAAAGAAGGAAAGUUUUGAUAGAAUAACCAAAUUUUUUCAUUUAAUAGGUAAAAUGACCCUUAUACCCUAGAUAUAUAAAAUUUAAUUAAAAAAUAUUUAAAAACAUUAAACAAAUAAUAAUUAAGUAAUAGUCUUAGAUUAUACGUUUUCAAAAUACAAUUUAUUUAAAUAAUUUUUUUAGUUGAUUUUUAAAUUGCAAUUUUUCUCUAUUUUUGUUUUCAAUUUAUCUUUUUGUAAUUCUAGCCGAAGUUCACAACAAGUGGAGCGACAACCUCGGACCGCAACCAAUUAUCGCUAGGAUCAUUAGGAUGUGGCCCAUCACAAAUCACACAAAUAAAAAUGCUUUUCUAGGAACAACUUUCAUUUAUCUUGACAUCUAGGUUUGUCUUAAAAAUACUUACUUUUAAUUAUUCUAACAACAUUUCAAAUAAUUGCUUUUAACCACUCAACAGGACAAAAAAUGGAAUGGCGGGUGCCUAUUUCUGACACAAUGUACCAACGGUUCGAGGAAGGAAAAAUUUAUCACAUUAAAUAUUUUAAUCUUCUUCCCAAUAACCGAUGGUACAUGCUUACCGUUCAACCAUACUUAAUCAAUAUUAAUGAGACAACAACUAUAACACUGAUUCAAGAAAACAUUUCACCGAUUCCUUCAUACAUUUUCCGGCCCCAACGCUAUCCCCAGUUGAUCAGCUUAGCAAGUGCAACCAACUUCCUCCCAAAUCAAAAAAAAAACCAUACCUAUCACACAUACAAAUAAAUUCUCUAUUUUUGUCGCUAAAAACAAAUUAUUCCCCACAGAUGUUGUUGGCCGCAUAUGCCUCAUCCAAGGAAGUGAUUUAUAUAAC